GAUGCUAGAGCUUGCUCUGGUUGAUCAGUGGCGAACGGGUGAGUAACACGUGAGUAACCUGCCCUUGACUCUGGGAUAACUCCGGGAAACCGGGGCUAAUACCGGAUACGAGACGCGACCGCAUGGUCGGCGUCUGGAAAGUUUUUCGGUCAAGGAUGGACUCGCGGCCUAUCAGCUUGUUGGUGAGGUAAUGGCUCACCAAGGCGUCGACGGGUAGCCGGCCUGAGAGGGCGACCGGCCACACUGGGACUGAGACACGGCCCAGACUCCUACGGGAGGCAGCAGUGGGGAAUAUUGCACAAUGGGCGAAAGCCUGAUGCAGCGACGCCGCGUGAGGGAUGAAGGCCUUCGGGUUGUAAACCUCUUUCAGUAGGGAAGAAGCGAAAGUGACGGUACCUGCAGAAGAAGCGCCGGCUAACUACGUGCCAGCAGCCGCGGUAAUACGUAGGGCGCAAGCGUUGUCCGGAAUUAUUGGGCGUAAAGAGCUCGUAGGCGGUUUGUCGCGUCUGGUGUGAAAACUCAAGGCUCAACCUUGAGCUUGCAUCGGGUACGGGCAGACUAGAGUGUGGUAGGGGUGACUGGAAUUCCUGGUGUAGCGGUGGAAUGCGCAGAUAUCAGGAGGAACACCGAUGGCGAAGGCAGGUCACUGGGCCACUACUGACGCUGAGGAGCGAAAGCAUGGGGAGCGAACAGGAUUAGAUACCCUGGUAGUCCAUGCCGUAAACGUUGGGCACUAGGUGUGGGGCUCAUUCCACGAGUUCCGCGCCGCAGCUAACGCAUUAAGUGCCCCGCCUGGGGAGUACGGCGCAAGGCUAAAACUCAAAGGAAUUGACGGGGGCCCGCACAAGC
This 849-nucleotide ribosomal RNA is filed under the name Sanguibacter suarezii. RNAcentral describes it as "bacterial SSU rRNA". It matches the Rfam family "Bacterial small subunit ribosomal RNA", at positions 69 to 930 of the family's 1533-position model. Lineage: Bacteria; Bacillati; Actinomycetota; Actinomycetes; Micrococcales; Sanguibacteraceae. The record is from RNAcentral.